RNAcentral lists this ribosomal RNA (476 nucleotides) under uncultured bacterium. RNAcentral describes it as "bacterial SSU rRNA". It matches the Rfam family "Bacterial small subunit ribosomal RNA", at positions 328 to 793 of the family's 1533-position model. The record is from RNAcentral.
UCAGUCGACUCCUACGGGGAGGCAGCAGUGGGGAAUAUUGCACAAUGGGGGAAACCCUGAUGCAGCCAUGCCGCGUGUGUGAAGAAGGCCUUCGGGUUGUAAAGCACUUUCAGUAGGGAGGAAGGUAGUGUAGUUAACACCUGCAUUAUUUGACGUUACCUACAGAAGAAGCACCGGCUAACUCCGUGCCAGCAGCCGCGGUAAUACGGAGGGUGCGAGCGUUAAUCGGAAUUACUGGGCGUAAAGCGCAUGCAGGCGGCCUGUUAAGUCAGAUGUGAAAGCCCGGGGCUUAACCUCGGAAUUGCAUUUGAAACUGGCAGGCUAGAGUCUUGUAGAGGGGGGUAGGAAUUUCAGGUGUAGCGGUGAAAUGCGUAGAGAUCUGAAGGAAUACCAGUGGCGAAGGCGGCCCCCUCGGACAAAGACUGACGCUCAGAUGCGAAAGCGUGGGGAGCAAACAGGAUUAGAUACCCUGGUAG